This 464-nucleotide ribosomal RNA is filed under the name uncultured bacterium. Its description in RNAcentral is "partial 16S ribosomal RNA". It matches the Rfam family "Bacterial small subunit ribosomal RNA", at positions 342 to 795 of the family's 1533-position model. The record is from RNAcentral.
CGGGCGGCAGCAGCAGUCGAGAAUCUUUUACAAUGACCGCAAGGUUGAUAAUGCGACGCCGCGUGAGCGAUGAAGGUCUUCGGAUUGUAAAGCUCUGUCAGCAGGGAAGAACGUAAAUUGGUUAAUACCCAAUUUAUUUGACGGUACCUGCAAAGGAAGCCACGGCUAACUCCGUGCCAGCAGCCGCGGUAAUACGGCGGUGGCAAGCGUUGUUCGGAUUCACGGGGUGUAAAGGACAUGUAGGCGUCUUUUUAAGUCGGAUGUGAAAUCCCUUGGCUCAACUAAGGAACUGCAUCCGAUACUGAAAAGAUUGAGUACGGGAGAGGUAAGCGGAAUUCCGGAAGUAAGGGUGAAAUCUGUAGAUAUCCGGAGGAACACCAUUAGCGAAGGCGGCUUACUGGUCCGAUACUGACGCUGAAAUGUGAAAGCUAGGGGAGCGAACAGGAUUAGAUACCCGGGUAGUC